RNAcentral lists this unclassified non-coding RNA (232 nucleotides) under Hevea brasiliensis (rubber tree). Lineage: Eukaryota; Viridiplantae; Streptophyta; Magnoliopsida; Malpighiales; Euphorbiaceae. The record is from RNAcentral.
AAAGAAUGAUUAUUUGCUCCCGGAGCAGUCUCUCAUCGUUAGACCUCGCAGGGAAUGAAAUGAAAGUCUUCAAAAAAACCAUAUGAUGAUAGGAGUCCGUCCUAUCUUGGAUAGCAGAUUCUAGGUCCUAAGGAUAGAGGCUAGCCAGUUCCCAUUCAUCCAGUUCCCUUUUUGGAGGUUCAGUGCUAGGGGUUGAGCUUUACUUGAUAGAGUUGCCUUCCAUGCAUAGGAU